CAGUCGUGAGUACCCGCUG
RNAcentral lists this ribosomal RNA (19 nucleotides) under Hoplolaimus columbus. Its description in RNAcentral is "partial 28S ribosomal RNA". Lineage: Eukaryota; Metazoa; Nematoda; Chromadorea; Rhabditida; Hoplolaimidae. The record is from RNAcentral.